GAUGAACGCUAGCUACAGGCUUAACACAUGCAAGUCGAGGGGAAACGCUGAGAGAGCUUGCUCUCUUAGGCGUCGACCGGCGCACGGGUGAGUAACGCGUAUCCAACCUACCCAUUACAGGGGGAUAACCUUGCGAAAGUAAGACUAAUACCCCAUGGCAUUUUAUGGUGGCAUCAUUAUAGGAUUAAAGAUUUAUUGGUAAUGGAUGGGGAUGCGUCUGAUUAGCUUGUUGGCGGGGUAACGGCCCACCAAGGCAACGAUCAGUAGGGGUUCUGAGAGGAAGGUCCCCCACAUUGGAACUGAGACACGGUCCAAACUCCUACGGGAGGCAGCAGUGAGGAAUAGUGGUCAAUGGGCGAGAGCUUGAACCAGCCAAGUAGCGUGCAGGAUGACGGCCCUAUGGGUUGUAAACUGCUUUUAUAGGGGAAUAAAGUGAGCUACGUGUAGUUUAUUGCAUGUACCCUAUGAAUAAGGACCGGCUAAUUCCGUG
RNAcentral lists this ribosomal RNA (490 nucleotides) under uncultured bacterium. Its description in RNAcentral is "partial 16S ribosomal RNA". It matches the Rfam family "Bacterial small subunit ribosomal RNA", at positions 28 to 507 of the family's 1533-position model. The record is from RNAcentral.